CUGUAAAUACAGUGCCUAACUCUGCUUUCCGUUUCCCGUAAGGAGAAGCAGAGCCACCGGUAAUGUCUGCGCCGCUCUCCUUGCCUUUUCUUUAUAAACGCAGUUCCUAACUCAAUUUUCCGUUUCCCAAAAGGAGAAGCAGAGCCAACGAUAAUGCCUGCUUCUCUCUCCUCUCUUUUUUUUUUCUACUUCCCUCUUCCGCGUCUCCUUCCAAUCCCAACGCGCACUUUUCUCCUUCACCACCAUCUCCUCGACGCCGUCUCAUUCCAAAAUCAAUCCACCGCCACCACCGUCGUCUUCGUCUCUCUAGUUCCUCUCAAUGACCUCUCGUAAACGCUGCAUUCACUGGCUCCUCUUCCUCUUCAUCGAUGCCUCCAGAAGUCUCUUCCUCCUCUCAGUUCAGGACAGUUUGCUAUAUCAGGGGCAUUUUGGGUAACUCAAUCUAUAAUCGCGUGCAAUGCGAAUGCUGUUAGAGACGGGUAUUGUUAUUUAUACGCUAGCCAAACCGCUGCAUUAACCGUUACGGAUACCGAAGUGGAAGAGAAUCAAGAUUGAAGAAGACAGCGGCGGCCUUCCAUGACAUGUAACUGCGAACAAAGCUUUCGAAGAGCCUUCAAUUGUGGAUGCCAAAUCUCUCGUGGAAUGCCAAUUAGCCAUCGCGGCAUUCAGCUUUAUUUUCAUGAUGCCGUGUUUUCUCCAUCUUUCGCAGCUGAUGGGAAAUGCAGCUAAGCUACUGGUUUGCAGUUACCUGGUAUUCUGAAUGAAUUGUUUGCGAAUGAUGGUCCACACAGUUAUUUUCAUGAUGCCGUGUUCUCUCCAUCUUUCGCAGCUGAUGGGAAAUGCAGCUAAGCUACUGGUUUGCAGUUACCUGGUAUUCUGAAUGAAUUGUUUGCGAAUGAUGGUCCACACAGUUACUUUCAUGAUGCCGUGUUCUCUCCAGCUUUCGCAGCUGAUGGGAAAUGCAGCUAAGCUACUGGUUUGCAGUUACCUGGUAUUCUGAAUGAAUUGUUUGCGAAUGAUGGCCCUUCGGUGUGCAUUAUUAAGAACAUGCUGGGUUUGCUCUAUCAAUGGGCUCACACUGCUGAGGUGUAUGACAUUUUGAAACAGAUUAUCUUGUUUUGUUUGUUUUCUAUGAAGUUGUCAUCUUCUAUGCGUUAGGUAAUGUUUUAUUAUUAUUAUUAUUAUUAUUAAUGCUUCUAAAAAGACAGUGCGUACCUGCAUUUAUAAGAAUGUAGAUAGCAGGGGUGCCAUGUAAGUUAUUCAGUUGAAGGAGGUUAAUGGAGUGUGGAGUAUUGAAGGAGGUUAUUGGGAAGGUUGUUAUUUUGUGUAUGAAGUGUCUGUCUACCAUCCUAGCAUCUUACACGUUGAAAAAUGCUAUGCAGAUGAUCCAUAUGGUAGAGCGCUUGUUGGGUGUCUCAGUUUGCCAACAAUUCUGUGAAAUAGUUCAAUUGUUUCCUUGCUCUGAAAUUAUGCAACUUUGCUGACCAUCUCAAUAUGUUUGUAUUUGUAUUUUGUGCAUUCAAAUAUGUAAAAUUCCUCUGAUUUUAUGCUGUUUCCUUGUUAGAACAGGCUCUUACCAGAUAGCCAGAGGACAUCAUUUGUGAAUCUUGAUUCAGAUAUUUUAUUGGCCUUCAUGUUGUGUUGGGCGCUGUCUACAAUCAUUUGCAUGGAAAUGGGCCCUUUGAUGAGAAUUAUGUUCUUGACAAUGUUCUUAUAAUUAUUGUUCUUUUGAUAUCCAGUCAAACUACGCUUUCCUCACAGUACUUAUGGCCUGCAUAACCUCGAAAACUUUGCCAGCUAUAACUGGAGUGAUGCUAUUCCUUGAUCAUUCCACAAAUUUUAGUACAAUCCAUCAAAUAAUUACUCUCAUACUUGAAUGUUAUUCUGUAAUGAUAUUUUCAUCAUCCUUUUUUUUUUCCUUCUUUUUGAGUGCUUAUGACUUAUAUUUAUUCUCAAACUAAAAGCAAUAUCUAAUUUUCUCCAAGGACCUUGAGUUGAAAUGGCAACCGCAUCUAUCUCCUGAACUAUCAUAAUACUUUCUUCUGGGUUUCUCCCUUCCUUUUCGUGUCUUUUUAUACGUAUCAGUCUAGUAGGGAGUAUAUUGUGGUGACAAUAAUUGGCGUUUAGGAACGGGUACGAUUCCACAACAGCGGCCCUUAAUGGGCCCCUGGUAUUAUAGUGAUGUGUGUUGAAGAUGGCCACUUCAUGGCCCCCUGGUAUUAUAGUGAUUAGUGUUGAAGAUUGCCAUGGAGGUUUUCCAGGAUUACCUCAACCGGAUCCCAUGUGGCUACUCAUACAUUGUGCUGAUCGUCAAUGCUAGUGCAUCUGAGGUAGCAUUUGCCAGUCCUGCACUGCAGGCAAGAACUUUUCAACUGCAUCUUAUACAGUAAGCAUGAGUAGAAACUGUGGCGGUUAAGAAGUUGCAACCUUCCAAAUAGAAAGAGUUAUUUCUUGGUUAAGUAGAAGCCUGGCUUCUGAAAUUUCUUUGGUACAGAACACUGCUGAUCUAAUUUUCUAUGGAACUCUAAAUAAUACUUCUAAUAGAAGCAUGGAGUUCCUGCUCUCUCUCUUCGUGGACUCGUUGGGAUGAGUUUAGGUAGCUGUUUGAGGUUAUUAUAGAAAAUAUGGAAGUUUAACUUGCACAAACAUCGACGACUACGAGUGGAACGGUGCCCCUAAAUGUUUUGGCUCAUGCCAUUUUUCUCUCAUGAUUCGUUGCUUCGGCUGUUAAAAAACCCAACGGAAAAUGUUGUUUCCUAUCUAUCUAUUUAUAUUUUUUAUGGGAAUCCUG
This is a long non-coding RNA of Populus euphratica (Euphrates poplar), 2791 nucleotides long. RefSeq lists it as uncharacterized. The transcript has 5 exons. Lineage: Eukaryota; Viridiplantae; Streptophyta; Magnoliopsida; Malpighiales; Salicaceae. The record is from RefSeq and is a predicted model, not a curated record.